This is a long non-coding RNA of Cygnus olor (mute swan), 935 nucleotides long. RefSeq lists it as uncharacterized. Lineage: Eukaryota; Metazoa; Chordata; Aves; Anseriformes; Anatidae. The record is from RefSeq and is a predicted model, not a curated record. The transcript is spliced from 3 exons.
CCGCCGUGACGCACUUCCCAACGGCCCGGCGCGGCACCGCCCCCCCGCCGCGGUUAAACCGGCGCUCGCGCGUUGCCACGGCGGCCGGUUUCCCCCCUCGCCUCCCAACCCGGAGGGUGCCCGAAAUGGAGGCGGCACGCCACCGGCAGCAGCCGCCUCAGGGCCAGACCCAUGAGUUUUAAGCAGCCCUCUCACGAGUGUGACAGGAUUUAGUGGCCGCAGAGGAGGAGGGAGCUGUGGGGCACGCACGUUCCCUCCCUCGGUGCCUCGCGUCGCCCCGCUGGGCGAUGCGACACCCUGCGCAGGCUGCAGGGCCGGCAGCCGGAUUCCCAUCAUAAACCCCCACUAAAACGAGCCUAGAGCGGUAGUCACGUACAGCCAGAUAAAACGCUGCACAAGCUGAAGGAAGCGACUUUAUAACCAUAGACACAAACACUCCAAUUCUCACGGCAGCCACCACUUCAAAGUGUCACCACUUCCCCAGCAUCCGUCCCCGCGCGGCUCUCGGCCGGCGGGUGCUGCUGACUGAAGUACAGGUUUCCCCACAGAGGGGCCCCUGUAGCUUGGCAUUCUCGGUCUGUUUGGACUCUGUGUACUUAAGUUGGAGAAAGGGUCAGGAUUUCAUACCGAGAUUAUAUGCAUUUCUUGAAAACAGCUCGAUACAUUUCAGUGACUAAGAAGAGGCCUGACUGGGGACCAUCACUACUGAACUGCAAACCAGUAAACACAUUAUUCUCUGUCUCUGUAAAGAAACAGAUGAAUUUAAAAAUUAACUUCUGAAUAUUAUGCUUGCUUCAGUUUAGAAGGCAGACCCACCUAUUUUAUGCCAGUCAUCCGUCCUCCACCAAAUUCCAGAAGGAGCAGUGUUAUCAUCUUCAGAUGUCAUGCUUUCCAGGGCUACAUACAAGCCAGAAGGGUCUUCAGGCACCUCUAUU